AGCCUGAUCCAGCCAUGCCGCGUGUGUGAAGAAGGCCCUCGGGUUGUAAAGCACUUUCAGCGAGGAAGAACGCCUAGUGGUUAAUACCCAUUAGGAAAGACAUCACUCGCAGAAGAAGCACCGGCUAACUCCGUGCCAGCAGCCGCGGUAAUACGGAGGGUGCAAGCGUUAAUCGGAAUUACUGGGCGUAAAGCGCGCGUAGGUGGCUUGAUAAGCCGGUUGUGAAAGCCCCGGGCUCAACCUGGGAACGGCAUCCGGAACUGUCAAGCUAGAGUGCAGGAGAGGAAGGUAGAAUUCCCGGUGUAGCGGUGAAAUGCGUAGAGAUCGGGAGGAAUACCAGUGGCGAAGGCGGCCUUCUGGACUGACACUGACACUGAGGUGCGAAAGCGUGGGUAGCAAACAGGAUUAGAUACCCUGGUAGUCCACGCCGUAAACGAUGUCGACCAGCCGUUGGGUGCCUAGCGCACUUUGUGGCGAAGUUAACGCGAUAAGUCGACCGCCUGG
RNAcentral lists this ribosomal RNA (504 nucleotides) under Halomonas sp. EBKC30. Its description in RNAcentral is "bacterial SSU rRNA". It matches the Rfam family "Bacterial small subunit ribosomal RNA", at positions 380 to 876 of the family's 1533-position model. Lineage: Bacteria; Pseudomonadati; Pseudomonadota; Gammaproteobacteria; Oceanospirillales; Halomonadaceae. The record is from RNAcentral.